Molecule: long non-coding RNA, 252 nt
Filed under: Musa acuminata (dwarf banana)
Lineage: Eukaryota; Viridiplantae; Streptophyta; Magnoliopsida; Zingiberales; Musaceae
Description: long non-coding RNA (MACU_LNC009828)
Source: RNAcentral
AGUAACAGCAAGAAAAUUGGUGUAAGUUGCGAUAGCAGAAUUCUCGUCGAAAAAUUUCAGCAACUUACGAUGAAAAUUUGCAGCAAUAUAGGAACGAAUUUUUUUUUUUUUUUGGAUUUUCGGAUAGGGAUAAAUAAAUUGCAGCAGCAGUAAGGUAGGAAACUAGAACCUGUUGCAAUUCACGGGGAGAUCAAAGGUUGAUCUGCAGUGGUGGAGAUGAUGGUGGAAUUCGGCGACGAUCUUUUAAGCAAU